Molecule: long non-coding RNA, 216 nt
Filed under: Cicer arietinum (chickpea)
Lineage: Eukaryota; Viridiplantae; Streptophyta; Magnoliopsida; Fabales; Fabaceae
Description: long non-coding RNA (CARI_LNC003188)
Source: RNAcentral
UGUUCUCCAUUGGAGAAAGAAAAAGAGAUUAUGUAAGAGUGAAAGAAAAUGUUGUGUUUAUGCAAUGAAUAUUGAUGAAGAGUUUUGGACAAUUUAUUUAUAAUGUUGGAAGAUUAGCAUGAAAGUGUGGUUUUUACACACAGAAUGAAUCACAAUGGUUAUCCUUUUGGUUUUCAGAUAUAACUCGGGUCGGUGUGACUUUGUUAUAUUUUGAAA